UACGAGGGGGGCUAGCGUUGCUCGGAAUCACUGGGCGUAAAGCGCACGUAGGCGGACUCUUAAGUCGGGGGUGAAAUCCUGGAGCUCAACUCCAGAACUGCCUUCGAUACUGGGAGUCUUGAGUUCGGGAGAGGUGAGUGGAACUGCGAGUGUAGAGGUGAAAUUCGUAGAUAUUCGCAAGAACACCAGUGGCGAAGGCGGCUCACUGGCCCGAUACUGACGCUGAGGUGCGAAAGCGUGGGGAGCAAACAGG
This 253-nucleotide ribosomal RNA is filed under the name uncultured bacterium. Its description in RNAcentral is "partial 16S ribosomal RNA". It matches the Rfam family "Bacterial small subunit ribosomal RNA", at positions 524 to 776 of the family's 1533-position model. The record is from RNAcentral.